This 253-nucleotide ribosomal RNA is filed under the name uncultured bacterium. RNAcentral describes it as "partial 16S ribosomal RNA". It matches the Rfam family "Bacterial small subunit ribosomal RNA", at positions 524 to 776 of the family's 1533-position model. The record is from RNAcentral.
UACGUAGGGCGCAAGCGUUGUCCGGAAUUAUUGGGCGUAAAGAGCUCGUAGGCGGUCUGUCGCGUCUGGUGUGAAAUCCCAUGGCUCAACUGUGGGCUUGCAUCGGGUACGGGCAGACUAGAGUGCUGUAGGGGAGACUGGAAUUCCUGGUGUAGCGGUGGAAUGCGCAGAUAUCAGGAGGAACACCGAUGGCGAAGGCAGUUCUCUGGGCCGUAACUGACGCUGAGGAGCGAAAGCGUGGGGAGCGAACAGG